UACGUAGGUGGCAAGCGUUGUCCGGAUUUACUGGGCGUAAAGGGCGUGCAGGCGGUCUGUUAAGUUCAGGGUGAAAGCUCCCGGCUCAACUGGGAGAGGGCCUUGGAUACUGGCGAUCUUGAGUCCGGGAGAGGUGAGUGGAACUGCGAGUGUAGAGGUGAAAUUCGUAGAUAUUCGCAAGAACACCAGUGGCGAAGGCGGCUCACUGGCCCGGUACUGACGCUGAGGUGCGAAAGCGUGGGGAGCAAACAGG
RNAcentral lists this ribosomal RNA (253 nucleotides) under uncultured bacterium. RNAcentral describes it as "partial 16S ribosomal RNA". It matches the Rfam family "Bacterial small subunit ribosomal RNA", at positions 524 to 776 of the family's 1533-position model. The record is from RNAcentral.